RNAcentral lists this ribosomal RNA (1018 nucleotides) under Enterococcus hirae. Its description in RNAcentral is "bacterial SSU rRNA". It matches the Rfam family "Bacterial small subunit ribosomal RNA", at positions 60 to 1048 of the family's 1533-position model. Lineage: Bacteria; Bacillati; Bacillota; Bacilli; Lactobacillales; Enterococcaceae. The record is from RNAcentral.
AGUCGAACGCUUCUUUUUCCACCGGAGCUUGCUCCACCGGAAAAAGAGGAGUGGCGAACGGGUGAGUAACACGUGGGUAACCUGCCCAUCAGAAGGGGAUAACACUUGGAAACAGGUGCUAAUACCGUAUAACAAUCGAAACCGCAUGGUUUUGAUUUGAAAGGCGCUUUCGGGUGUCGCUGAUGGAUGGACCCGCGGUGCAUUAGCUAGUUGGUGAGGUAACGGCUCACCAAGGCGACGAUGCAUAGCCGACCUGAGAGGGUGAUCGGCCACAUUGGGACUGAGACACGGCCCAAACUCCUACGGGAGGCAGCAGUAGGGAAUCUUCGGCAAUGGACGAAAGUCUGACCGAGCAACGCCGCGUGAGUGAAGAAGGUUUUCGGAUCGUAAAACUCUGUUGUUAGAGAAGAACAAGGAUGAGAGUAACUGUUCAUCCCUUGACGGUAUCUAACCAGAAAGCCACGGCUAACUACGUGCCAGCAGCCGCGGUAAUACGUAGGUGGCAAGCGUUGUCCGGAUUUAUUGGGCGUAAAGCGAGCGCAGGCGGUUUCUUAAGUCUGAUGUGAAAGCCCCCGGCUCAACCGGGGAGGGUCAUUGGAAACUGGGAGACUUGAGUGCAGAAGAGGAGAGUGGAAUUCCAUGUGUAGCGGUGAAAUGCGUAGAUAUAUGGAGGAACACCAGUGGCGAAGGCGGCUCUCUGGUCUGUAACUGACGCUGAGGCUCGAAAGCGUGGGGAGCAAACAGGAUUAGAUACCCUGGUAGUCCACGCCGUAAACGAUGAGUGCUAAGUGUUGGAGGGUUUCCGCCCUUCAGUGCUGCAGCUAACGCAUUAAGCACUCCGCCUGGGGAGUACGACCGCAAGGUUGAAACUCAAAGGAAUUGACGGGGGCCCGCACAAGCGGUGGAGCAUGUGGUUUAAUUCGAAGCAACGCGAAGAACCUUACCAGGUCUUGACAUCCUUUGACCACUCUAGAGAUAGAGCUUCCCCUUCGGGGGCAAAGUGACAGGUGGUGCAUGG